GCCCAUGGAGUGUUGAAAUAAUUGUGCCUCAACUUGGCCAUCCACUUAUUACGACGCCUACUGCAAUGCAAAAUCACUUUGUUGAAAACCUCACGGUAAUAGAACUUCUCACCGAGUACAACGCCAUCACAAAGCUUGUUCAAUAAGGUUGCAAUCACUUCAUCAUCUCCUAACAAAUUCUCAAUUAUUCCACGACGGCGGAGUAAUUCAGCAUCCUUUGAAGAAUUGAUGAGGCAGUUCAGGAAUUCGACAUAAUCGAUUACAUGCUUCAGAUUUAAGUCUUGGGAACACUGCUCGUAUGCAAUGAAAUUCUGUAAAAUUGUUUCUGUAGCAUCACCAAUUUCCAAGGACGGCAUCUUCAUUACCCCAUUUUCGAACUUAAUAUCGAACAAGGAAUCAUCUUUAAGGACCUCAACCUUCCGGAAGCGGAUUCCAGCCUCUCGAAUCUCUAUGGCAGAACCAAUGAAGCUCCAGUAACUAUUAUCUGUGGCAUUAUUCCUAUAUGCUUCAACUCCUGCAGGUGAAGGAAGCCAAUUUGCGUGUAUUAAAUGGACCAAAUGUUUUAUUUCAUUUAUGGGGUAAACAUCAACUUGAUAAACAAUAUCUCUUCGACAACCUUUCCCUGGUAAUAUGCCAUUGAAAAAACGCAGGAUCAUGAGAAGAAAGCUUUCGUUCCUUGAAUCACUAGGCAUGUCAGUCAUGAUAAACAACUUCCAAAUAACAAAAAAUGGAAGUUGAUUCUCAAGCAAAAUCAUAUCUCGUGCUAUGGAAGGUAACAUCCAACCUAGUUUAAAAUUUGGGUCAUCAUCUCCUCUCAAAUGUUUCAACCUAAACUUGCGAAUAACCUCAACAAUAAAGCAACCAUCGAGAAGCAUCAUUUGCACAAACUCAUCUCUGUUUAAACUUAUAGAUCCUCCAUAACACUUUCGAGCUCUUUCUUCCAAUGCCCUCAUGGCCAUGACAUAGUCUGACAAAGGUAUACGAGUACGCUCUAGAAGUUUUUUAAGAUAGCGAGUUUUGUGCUCUUCAACUGCUGUACGGCCAAGGCGGAUGUACGGUACAGCAGUAGUGCAGGAACACGAUGCUCUUUCUAAGGAAUAGUAUAGAGAAGCAUAUUCUUCCCAGAUUCUUCCUCAGGAAUCUCUCUUUCCACCUAUCUUCCAAACCAUCUGCCAUGUGAUCACCAUCGGCCUUAAUUGCAUUGGGCUCCAAGAUUGUAAUGUAUGUGUUAAUUCAUGUUUUGUACCAUGUACAUGGCUAAUAAAUUAAACAAGGCCCUUUCAUCAAGCUUAUAAAGGGAGUAAGCCGAAACUAAUACUUUGAUGAUGCGUCGUUGCAGUUGCUUGUUUGAAUGCCAUUUGCUUGCAAGUGAUUUACUCUUGAUUUUCUGAUCUGCAGAUUGAUUCUAUCGCUCCUCUUUCAUUUUGAUGAAACAUAAUGUUAACUAAUGAUAGAAGAAUUUCAUCUUAUUGAAAUUGUUAGACUUGAAAUUCGAGACAGAUAUAACGCGUCCAAACUAUCCGCGAUGUGAUCACCAAUGCCAUGAGUAAUAUUUACAUAUUAUUUAACCUGCAUCUUCUAUUUAGUAAUGCUCGCAUUUGACAUUGCACACUAACAAAAUUUAACUCAGUACCUUGUUUAGUGUCGAAUAAGUCGUAUUAUAUUUGACAAACCAAAUAAGCAACAACUGUAAAUAAAGUUUAUACAAAUUUAAGAAGAAGAAUGGACAAUCACUACAUUUAACCAUCUUGACUCAUGUCUACAAUACCACAGUAGCUACUGUAUCUGCUUCUAUAUUCAAUGGCUUUGCGCUUGUUGAUAAUAAGAAAGAACUGCAAACAGAGCUUGCUGCAACGUUAGGAGAAGUAGGAAAAGAGCAGCAAGAACGGAGAUGAUUGCCCAUGGAGUGUUGAAAUAAUUGUGCCUCAACUUGGCCAUCCACUUAUUACGACGCCUACUGCAAUGCAAAAUCACUUUGUUGAAAACCUCACGGUAAUAGAACUUCUCACCGAGUACAACGCCAUCACAAAGCUUGUUCAAUAAGGUUGCAAUCACUUCAUCAUCUCCUAACAAAUUCUCAAUUAUUCCACGACGGCGGAGUAAUUCAGCAUCCUUUGAAGAAUUGAUGAGGCAGUUCAGGAAUUCGACAUAAUCGAUUACAUGCUUCAGAUUUAAGUCUUGGGAACACUGCUCGUAUGCAAUGAAAUUCUGUAAAAUUGUUUCUGUAGCAUCACCAAUUUCCAAGGACGGCAUCUUCAUUACCCCAUUUUCGAACUUAAUAUCGAACAAGGAAUCAUCUUUAAGGACCUCAACCUUCCGGAAG
Molecule: long non-coding RNA, 2323 nt
Filed under: Citrus sinensis (sweet orange)
Lineage: Eukaryota; Viridiplantae; Streptophyta; Magnoliopsida; Sapindales; Rutaceae
Description: long non-coding RNA (CSIN_LNC003481)
Source: RNAcentral